RNAcentral lists this long non-coding RNA (473 nucleotides) under Mus pahari (shrew mouse). RNAcentral's name for it is "predicted gene 15008 (MGP_PahariEiJ_G0004004.1)". The record is from RNAcentral. Lineage: Eukaryota; Metazoa; Chordata; Mammalia; Rodentia; Muridae.
GCACUUGACUUAAACUCAGAGGACAUCUUGCGUGAGUCAGUUCUCUGCUUCCACCACUUAGCUCUGUGAAGGAUUUGCUGGUAUUCUUUUCUCAAGAAGCCCCACCCCCAACCCUCCCGGGUUUACUGAGACGGAUCUGGAUGUGUAACCCAGAGUAAGGAUCCUGCAUUUCCCCACACCUUCACAGUAUCAGCCUUCAGCGAGUCGUAAAUGAAGCUGAGGUAAGCAAGCCCCAAUUCACUCACAGGCAGAUUUCUGAAAAGUGACCACUCUCCCUUUUACCUAUUGCAAUGCCCGGGAGGAUGGGAGGCAUCCCUGAGUGACCCAAGGCUUAGUAUCUACAGAAUGUCUUUCAACUCAUGAAAUUGGGAAAAUCUUCACAUCACAGGAGUAAAUAAGAGAAGUAGCACAGAGCUGUUUUUGUUCUUGUUCUGUGGAAUGCCGUUUUCUGUCUUUACCCUCCCUCUACUGUC